UGGUUAAGUGAAUAAGGGCGUACGGUGAAUGCCUUGGCACUAGGAGCCGAUGAAGGACGGGACGAACACCGAUAUGCUUCGGGGAGCUGUAAGUAAGCUUUGAUCCGGAGAUUUCCGAAUGGGGGAACCUCAUUGUUUUUAUCGACAAUGGUCCACUCAGUGAACACAUAGCUGAGUGGAAGGUAGACGUGGUGAACUGAAACAUCUCAGUAGCCACAGGAAGAGAAAGAAAAAUCGAUUUCCCGAGUAGCGGCGAGCGAAACGGAAAGAGGCCAAACCAGCGUGCUUGCAUGCUGGGGUUGUAGGACUGAUGGACGGGAGUGAAUGAGUUAGUCGAACGCCAUGGAAAGGGCGAUCAGAGAGGGUGACAAUCCCGUAGGCGAAAGCUCAACCACCUCAUUCAGUAUCCUGAGUACGGCGGUACACGUGAAAUUCCGUCGGAAUCCGCCAGGACCAUCUGGCAAGCCUAAAUACUCCCUAGUGACCGAUAGUGAACCAGUACCGUGAGGGAAAGGUGAAAAGCACCCCGGAAGGGGAGUGAAAGAGUACCUGAAACCGUAUGCCUACAAGCAGUCAGAGCCCGUUAAGGGGUGAUGGCGUACUUUUUGUAGAACGGACCGGCGAGUGACGAUAGCAAGCAAGGUUAAGCUGAAGAAGCGGAGCCACAGCGAAAGCGAGUCUGAAGAGGGCGUUGAGUUUGUUGUCGUCGACCCGAAACCAAGUGAUCUACUCAUGUCCAGGCUGAAGGUGUGGUAAAACACACUGGAGGGCCGAACCCACGUCUGUUGAAAAAGGCGGGGAUGAGGUGUGGGUAGCGGUGAAAUUCCAAUCGAACUUGGAGAUAGCUGGUUCUCUCCGAAAUAGCUUUAGGGCUAGCCUCGGAUGAUGACUAUUGGAGGUAGAGCACUGUUUGAUCGAGGGGUCCAUCCUGGAUUACCGACAUCUGAUAAACUCCGAAUGCCAAAUAGUUUAGUCCGGGAGUCAGACUGCGAGUGAUAAGAUCCGUAGUCGAAAGGGAAAGAGCCCAGACCACCAGCUAAGGUCCCAAAGUUUCAGUUAAGUGGAAAAGGAUGUGGGGUUGCUUAGACAACUAGGAUGUUGGCUUAGAAGCAGCCAUCAUUGAAAGAGUGCGUAAUAGCUCACUAGUCGAGUGACCCUGCGCCGAAAAUGUACCGGGGCUAAACUGAACACCGAAGCUGUGGAUCCGUAGGAUGGUAGGAGAGCGUUCUAUAGGCAGAGAAGCAUGAUCGUGAGGACAUGUGGAGCGUAUAGAAGUGAGAAUGCCGGUAUGAGUAGCGAAAGACGGGUGAGAAUCCCGUCCACCGAAUGACUAAGGUUUCCUGGGGAAGGCUCGUCCUCCCAGGGUUAGUCGGGACCUAAGCCGAGACCGAAAGGGAUAGGCGAUGGACAACAGGUUGAGAUUCCUGUACUUGUUUGAUUUGUUUGAGCGAUGGAAGGACACAGAAGGCUAAGCGGAGCGCGGAGAUGGAAAGACGCGUCCAAGCAAUGAGUGAGAAGGUGAGUGAAAGGCUUGCCUCAGACUUCAUGAGUUGUGACGGGGAGGGAAGUUUAGUACCGAAGCCGCCGACGUCACGCUGUCAAGAAAAGUUUCUAGUGAGAAUCAAACAACCCGUACCGCAAACCGACACAGGUAGUCGAGUGGAGAACACUAAGGUGAGCGAGCGAACUCUCGUUAAGGAACUCGGCAAAAUGACCCCGUAACUUCGGGAGAAGGGGUGCUGACCGCAAGGUCAGCCGCAGUGAAUAGGCCCAAGCGACUGUUUAUCAAAAACAUAGGUCUCUGCCAAAUCGAAAGAUGAUGUAUAGAGGCUGACGCCUGCCCGGUGCUGGAAGGUUAAGAGGAAGGGUUAGCGUAAGCGAAGCUCUGAAUUGAAGCCCCAGUAAACGGCGGCCGUAACUAUAACGGUCCUAAGGUAGCGAAAUUCCUUGUCAGGUAAGUUCUGACCCGCACGAAAGGCGUAACGAUUUGGGCACUGUCUCAACGAGAGGCUCGGUGAAAUUGUAGUACCAGUGAAGAUGCUGGUUACCCGCGACAGGACGGAAAGACCCCAUGGAGCUUUACUGUAGGUUGAUAUUGAAUGUUUGUGCCACAUGUACAGGAUAGGUAGGAGCCAUCGAAGUCGGGACGCUAGUCUCGAUGGAGGCACUGGUGGGAUACUACCCUUGUGGGAUGACCAUUCUAACCCGCGACCAUUAGCUGGUCGGGAGACAGUGUCAGUCAGGCAGUUUGACUGGGGCGGUCGCCUCCUAAAGUGUAACGGAGGCGCCCAAAGGUUCCCUCAGAAUGGUUGGAAAUCAUUCGCAGAGUGUAAAGGCAGAAGGGAGCUUGACUGCGAGACCUACAAGUCGAGCAGGGACGAAAGUCGGGCUUAGUGAUCCGGUGGUUCCGCAUGGAAGGGCCAUCGCUCAACGGAUAAAAGCUACCCUGGGGAUAACAGGCUUAUCUCCCCCAAGAGUUCACAUCGACGGGGAGGUUUGGCACCUCGAUGUCGGCUCAUCGCAUCCUGGGGCUGAAGUCGGUCCCAAGGGUUGGGCUGUUCGCCCAUUAAAGCGGUACGCGAGCUGGGUUCAGAACGUCGUGAGACAGUUCGGUCCCUAUCCGUCGCGGGCGUUGGAAAUUUGAGAGGAGCUGUCCUUAGUACGAGAGGACCGGGAUGGACACACCGCUGGUGUACCAGUUGUUCCACCAGGAGCAUGGCUGGGUAGCUAUGUGUGGACGGGAUAAGCGCUGAAAGCAUCUAAGCGUGAAGCCCCCCUCAAGAUGAGAUUUCCCAUACUUUAAAAGUAGUAAGCCCCCUGAAAGACGAUCAGGUUGAUAGGUUUGGAGUGGAAGCUUAGCAAUAAGUGGAGCGGACAAAUACUAAUCGGUCGAGGACUUAUCCAAA
Molecule: ribosomal RNA, 2906 nt
Filed under: Aerococcus urinae
Lineage: Bacteria; Bacillati; Bacillota; Bacilli; Lactobacillales; Aerococcaceae
Description: bacterial LSU rRNA
Rfam family: Bacterial large subunit ribosomal RNA
Source: RNAcentral